UACGGAGGGUGCAAGCGUUAUCCGGAUUCACUGGGUUUAAAGGGUGCGUAGGUGGGCAGGUAAGUCAGUGGUGAAAUCUCCGGGCUUAACCCGGAAACUGCCAUUGAUACUAUCUGUCUUGAAUACCGUGGAGGUGAGCGGAAUAUGUCAUGUAGCGGUGAAAUGCUUAGAUAUGACACAGAACACCGAUUGCGAAGGCAGCUCACUAAGCCAUAACUGACGCUGAUGCACGAAAGCGUGGGGAGCAAACAGG
Molecule: ribosomal RNA, 253 nt
Filed under: uncultured bacterium
Lineage: Bacteria
Description: partial 16S ribosomal RNA
Rfam family: Bacterial small subunit ribosomal RNA
Source: RNAcentral